This 509-nucleotide ribosomal RNA is filed under the name Acaulospora sp. RNAcentral describes it as "SSU rRNA". It matches the Rfam family "Eukaryotic small subunit ribosomal RNA", at positions 569 to 1078 of the family's 1831-position model. The record is from RNAcentral. Lineage: Eukaryota; Fungi; Glomeromycota; Glomeromycetes; Diversisporales; Acaulosporaceae.
AGCAGCCGCGGUAAUUCCAGCUCCAAUAGCGUAUAUUAAAGUUGUUGCAGUUAAAAGCUCGUAGUUGAAUUUCGGGAUUUGUCAGUUGGUCGGGCUUCACUGUCCGUACUGAUUCGAUGGAUUCUUACCUUCUGAAUAACCAGCAUGCUAUUUAGUUAGUGCGUUGGGGAAGCAGAUCUAUUACCUUGAAAAAAUUAGAGUGCUUAAAGCGGGCUAGUGCUUGAAUAGAUUAGCAUGGAAUAAUAAAAUAGGACGGCAUGGUUCUAUUUUGUUGGUUUCUAGGAUCACCGUAAUGAUUAAUAGGGAUAGUUGGGGGCAUUAGUAUUCAAUUGUCAGAGGUGAAAUUCUUGGAUUUAUUGAAGACUAACUUCUGCGAAAGCAUUUGCCAAGGAUGUUUUCAUUAAUCAAGAACGAAAGUUAGGGGAUCGAAGACGAUCAGAUACCGUCGUAGUCUUAACCAUAAACUAUGCCGACUAGGAAUCGGACGAAGUUAAUUUUAUAAUGACUCG